UAUUGAAACAGUUGUGGAAGGAAAUCAGCUGGGGGUUGUGCCUUAUUUCAUUCGAGUGUCUGACACAUGAUGAUGCUCAACUUUAUGCGGUUGAUUCCGUUAACAGCAACAUUGCUCGAAUUACUCCCAACCCAAGAUAGUGGGGCAAUAUUAAUUGCGGGGUCCUUAACCAAAUGAUGCUCGUUUUCAUCACCCUAAAGGGAAUGUUUAUGUUGCCGAUACCUCUAAUCUUGCCAUCAGAACAGAAAGAUCACUGAAGCUGCAGGAUGGUUUGCCAUCAACUUCACCUCAUCGCUGGUGUUGUAUAACUUCUUUACUUAAUUUAAUACUGAAUGCUUUAUUGAAGAACAAAUUUAUAGAUAGGUGUGACGACAAGACAAUUGCUGGAGGAAAAUCAAGUGUAGCAGGGUACAGGGAUGGGCCAAGUAAAGAUGCGCAGUUUUCAACUGAUUUUGAUGUAAUUUACGUCAGACCAACCUCUUCUUUGCUAGUUGUUGAUCGCUGAAUUCUCUCAAUCAAGAGGAUUGUGAUUUCCUUGACACCUACCUCUGUUUCUUCCUCAGAUCUUGUUUUGGUAAUAGGUGCCAUCAUCUUGUAUGCAUACUUCAACAAGGAUAUGGUUCAUCAUAUUUCACAAAGAUGGAUAAGGUGGAGAGAGAGUGAUACUAAAAGACCAAACAACGAAAAGUUGACCAAAACUCAAACCGUGGAAACCAGACAGUAAAGAAGAACAAGAAGCAGAGGAUGGCCGUCCUUUAGUCAACUCGUUUUGGAUCUAUCAAAACUUGCUCUCCAAGGUUUUGGUAACAUUUUUGUUCCUUUCAACCUGUUCAAAAAUUCUAAAAAGGGCCUCCCGCCAUUAAAAGACCAUCUCAUAAUGCCUGCAAUAGUUCAAAAGCACCGAACUCCAACCCCGCUUUCAGAAACCCGUCAUGUCUACAACCCGAAUGAGAAAUACCCGGAAAAAACAAAGCCCGUGAAGCUCAGAUCGUCAUCUAGCAUAAAAGAUCCACGCAAGCAUAGCCAUAGAUCUUCGAAAAGAGAAGAAUACGCGGAGUAUUAUGAUGCUAAAGGUGAGGUUAGUCGUGUUCGGUCCAAAACCCAAAAAGAAAGAACAAAGCAUCGGACCAGAGAUAAAGGAGGUGAAGUCGCGUCUGCAGAACAAAAGCCCGUUGACUUUAAACCCAUAAACCUGCAUGUGAUUGGCCAAAUCCAUUCCCUCUUCGGUGUUGAUUUAAGAACGCUUGUGGCCAAAUUUUGUAAAACAACGCCCUUGGGGGCGGAGAACUUGGCGUUGAUGGGCGUUUUAGGGGCAAAAAACGCCCUAAAACUUUACCACUACAGGUGGUUUUACUAUAAUCCGGGGUGUUUGGAUGCACGGCACGGUGAAGAGUAUAAGGAAGCCAAAGCCGUGGGAAUUCCCACGGCCAGUUACCUGGAGCCAGUUGGUGCAGAUGCGUGAUGAGUUUUGGGAUACGGCUCCUCAUCAUGGUGGCAAGAAAGGU
Molecule: long non-coding RNA, 1505 nt
Organism: Helianthus annuus (common sunflower)
Lineage: Eukaryota; Viridiplantae; Streptophyta; Magnoliopsida; Asterales; Asteraceae
Exons: 5
Source: RefSeq, a predicted model, not a curated record